CAGCCGCCACGGUAAUACGAAGGGGGCUAGCGUUGCUCGGAAUGACUGGGCGUAAAGGGCGCGUAGGCGGAUGGCACAGUCAGAUGUGAAAUUCCCGGGCUUAACCUGGGGGCUGCAUUUGAUACGUGUUGUCUAGAGUGAGGAAGAGGGUUGUGGAAUUCCCAGUGUAGAGGUGAAAUUCGUAGAUAUUGGGAAGAACACCGGUGGCGAAGGCGGCAACCUGGUCCUUGACUGACGCUGAGGCGCGGAAGCGUGGGGAGCAAACAGGAUUAGAUACCCCCGUAGUCCCUGUCUCUUAUAC
This 301-nucleotide ribosomal RNA is filed under the name uncultured bacterium. RNAcentral's name for it is "partial 16S ribosomal RNA". It matches the Rfam family "Bacterial small subunit ribosomal RNA", at positions 509 to 807 of the family's 1533-position model. The record is from RNAcentral.